RNAcentral lists this long non-coding RNA (42234 nucleotides) under Durio zibethinus. RNAcentral's name for it is "long non-coding RNA (DZIB_LNC001793)". The stretch from base 21089 to 21160 matches the Rfam family "tRNA". The record is from RNAcentral. Lineage: Eukaryota; Viridiplantae; Streptophyta; Magnoliopsida; Malvales; Malvaceae.
AUUUGUUGAUCUAAUUGAUAUGUAUGUGAUUAAAUUAGUAUUAUGUAUCAGAAUGCUAUGUAAGACAAUCCUUGUGCCCUGUCUCUUUGUUUUAUAUACCUGAUGGACCAAAUACAUAAUAUAUAGGAAAAUGUACCAUUAACGAAUUUUCAACUGUGGAUACAUGUCUAUCCUUACCAUACAGAAACAAAUGCUAUUAAUAAGCCAAUUAUGUUAUAUUAUAAAGCAGUUUUUUUUUUUUUUUUGUGGCUUUACACAUACCUUAGUUGCAAUAACUCCUCUUGCCCUGGUAGGAGGUCUGAAGUUCAAAUGCUCUCCCACAAAUUAUUAACUAUUAAAAGAAGAUGCAAAUAUUUGGAUCUGCUUAAAAAAUUUGUGUUCAAAUGAUGCUCAAGUCAAAUUUAAUUUAACAAGUAUUCUAGAUUAUAGUUUCUGAUUUUUAUAAGGUUAUAUACUUGUUUCAUACUUAGGAUGGUGUUUUACGUUGUACUUAUGGGAUUCUUAUUAUAUUAUGUCGAGACCUUGUGGUAUAUGCCAAACAGGAUAAAAAUUUUGCUUGGUAGUCUCAAUUUGCCUUCGUUAUAUCUUUUGUAAGUUCAUAUUCUCGUGAUGUUAUUACUGAAAGGAUUAAAUGUUCCUUGCAGGCAUAUUGAAAUUUGAGAUUGUGGCUUUUUAAAUGAUAGGAAGGCGGCGCCUGGGAUUUCUGUUGGGUUAAGGAUGGAGAAUUGCAUGUUACCGUACCAGAAUUUAUUUGUUGAUUAUAUAGUUUUUAUAUUGAUUUUAUUGAUUUGAUGGUGAAAUGGAAUGGGAUGAUAUAGUGACAGGCCAUGCAACAAUUAAGUAAUAGUUUUUGUGAUUGAUCCAUUGUCCCAUUUCUAUGUUGGUGUUUCUUUCUCUGAAACUCUUGGCUUGAAACUGGUGAUUACUUCAAUUUUGAACCUUUUCUUUCUGCAUUGUGAUAAUUAUUGGAUUUUGAAGUGCAAAUGCUAUCUAAAGUUGUUUGAUUCUCCUUUGAACUCACUGGCUGAAGAAGAGGAUGACACAUCAAAAACUCCUUCUCAGAAAAAGAAAAUGAAGAAGUAGAGGAAGGUGGAACGAGCUAAGAAAGUAUAUCAGCUUGUUUUGGUGAUUCUUGGCUAACACUCUCUUUGAUGAUUUCAUUCUGAUGCCGUGUAUUAUUUUAAGAGGCAGAGGAGAAAAAUGAAGAAUCAAGUUCUAGUGGCAUCUCUAAGUCUGGGAAACGACAUGUUAAACCUGUAGAUCCUUAUCCUUUUGGAGAAAAAUUAUUGAAGGUUACCUAUUAUUAUCUUUUCCCUGUGCUUUAGAUUCCUGAUUAAAGUCCUCGUGCUGUAAAAAUGUGUUACGCUAAUGCCUAUUAAGCUAAGACUGUUUAAUCUGUAUUUUUUUUUUUCAGACAGAGUAUCCCUUGUCAGAAGCAACGAAGUACUUGAAGUUGCUUCAGAAGAACUCACCUGAUUCUUUUAUAGACGCACUUACUUUCUUUUGAAGUAAAUAUGAGAAAGCAGAAGAUUUUGCUUGCCUUUCAGGUAUUAUAUUUUCCAAGAAUUGAACAUGAGAUGUGUUUCUUGUUCUUUUUGUGUUUGGUCAACUAGAACUGAUAUUUAAUUGUCAGCUAGUGGUUUGUGAGGAAGCCCCUUUUCUUGUUUUCUCCUCUCUUUUUUCACUUUCUGCCUGUGGAUAUGUUCUUGAAAUAAAGAAACUGUACCGUUUAACCAAACAUCCUUUUCUUAUUGCUCUACUCACUCAAUGAAUUUAUGUGUGAAUUAGAUAGUUUGCACGACAUAUCUUUGAGUUGUAGAACAAUGGUUUUGUGCAGUAGUACUUUUACUAUUUCAUGAGCUCAUAUUAGUACGUUUGUCUUGGUUUUAUUUUGUUUUCCUGAAGGCUGUAAAGCAACUGCUAAGGCUGGAUGCUGAGAAUCCAGAUUCACAUCGCUGCUUGGUAUGUAACAUCUGCCCUACCAUAUUUGUGCACUGCCAUGCACAACUGCAUUCUUUUCUAUUCUUAGAUACAAAGAUCAUGUAAUCUUUACAAUGCUUAUUUGAAUUUAAUCUAAUGCAGAUUAAAUUUUUCCAUAAAUUGGGCUCAAUGCCUGCUCCAUUAACUGAUGCUGAAAAACUUGUUUGGAGUGUCUUAGAAGCUGAGCGUCCAUCCAUCAGGUUCUCUUUGAAAUGGUUUUAUGAUAGCUAUUCCCCCUACUAGAAUUUUGUUGUGUUACUGUUACUAUUAUUAUUUUGAUCCCUGAUGCAUUAAAUCCCUUUAUUUUCUCUUUCCGCAGUCAAUUGCAGGAGAAAACUCUUAGUGAGGCGAACAAAGUUUUCCUUGGUAAACAUGAAGGAAGGUAUUACGACCUUUACAUAACAUGAUGCAUUUUAGGUUCCUUGAGGUAGGUUGUAUAAUCAUGCAAAUUUCACUUUUUGGUUCUGCAGAAUCUUUGAUGCAUAUAGUGGCAGUUGCAGAAAUGUUAUAUACCUUGGAGCAGACCAAGAAACUUGAGGCUGUUAAGUAGAGAAUUAGUUGGUGGAGGACAAAUUGGAAUGUGUGAGGAAUUUGGAGACCUUCUGAAGGUUUGAUUUCUACCAUCUUAAUUUUAUUUAAAUUUUUUUACUUCAAAUAAUGCCCGAUUUGAUUUUUUUCUAUUUUUUUCUGAUGAUAAAAUGUGUUCUCGUUAUAGACUGUAGAUAAUGAUAUUGCUAGUGUAAACUGUUUUAUUAUGUCUUAGCUGUUAGUCAUAUUAAUUUGAUUUUCUGUUUGGUAUUUUUUUUUAAUGAGCUCCAAAUGGUACCUUGGGAUGUUCUGUUCAUUAUAUUUACUCUGGAUUUCCUCUCUCUCUUAUUUAUAGAAUCACAUGAUGCAAAUCCAACGAAAACCUUACUUUUUUGUAGAGCUAUCAAGCUUUCUCCCCUUUUCUAGAGAGAGGAGGGGCGGCUAUUUUUACAAAUACUCUUGUAGGGAUCUUGUUUUUCUUGAUGGCUUGAUAAGAAAUUAUGUGACAAAAAUCUAGUGAUGUGGUUCUACAAUAGACACAGUCCAUUCGAUGGCUUGUGAUAUUCUUAAAUAAUCUAGAAAUAGAUAGUUGUGGUAUUAUGCUGAAAUACUUCAUUGAUGUCUUGAUGUGACAAUAGUAAGAACUCUAGGUGGUUAAAAUUAUGCUUUCAUAUGCUUCACCCCUAGAGAGUUGACAUGGUGGCUAAUUCUUUUAUUAGUGGCUAUCUUUAGCUCAUUCUUUUAGUUAAACUGACUUUCCUAUUUAAAAACCUUUUGACGAUGGGCCAGGUUAUGGCAUGAUUGAAAUAAAGUGUCAAACUCUAGAGCUUUUGGAAUUUGACUCAUGCAGUGAGGAUGUAUUUAAAUUGUUUUCUUCCUGUAACUCACAUUUGUAAUGUAUUCAUUCAUGAGAAUUGUAAUUAUUGCUGUUACAAUGUGCAUCAUUAUUGCCAAUAAAUGCUACUUCCUUUAUGAUGUGUGAUGAAUGUUCUAGGACUUAUAUUAAAACUUUGUUUUCUCAAUUUUUAGAGGAUACCACUUGAUUUACUGCAAGGAAACAAAUUUCGUAAAGCGGCAAUUGAUUGCAUUAAGCCUUUUCUAGCCUUUAUAUACAGGUGAGUGUUUUUUUUUUUUUUGUAUUAGUUUGAUUGGUGUUUUUUAGUUUGACUGGCUAUUGUUUCUUGAUCUUUUGGAGAAGUUCUUGGAAUUUUCUUGAAGCUGGGUCUAUGUGUAUAUUAUUUACUUCUCUUUGGUGACAGAGUCGGAUACUGAAACAUGUUGGUGAUUUGGUAGCUGUGGCUUCAUUGACAGAUGAAGCUAGGUGUAUGGAUCUUGCAGAUCGCUAUGUAAACAGUUAAUCUGUGAAGCGAAUGUUGCAGUCUGAUCAGGUUCUAAGGUUUCCCCGCUUCAUCUUUUGUCAUAGUUAAUAUUUGUCACUAAAUUUCUUUCGGUAUUAUUGUACUGUUCACAAGCUUUUUCUACUUUUGAAGGUGGCUUUGGCAGGAAAAACUGCUGUUUUGUUCACGAAAGAUGGGGGCCAGCACAACAACCUUCAUGACAUGCAGUGCAUGUGGUAUGUUUUUGUUUAUUACCUUCCACAUGUUGUUGUCUCUAAUUAUAAUUUGGGUACACCUACUGAGUGUUAUCCAUCUUUUGAAGGUAUGAACUUGCUUCUGAUGAAAGUUACUUUCGACAUGGUGAUUUUGGACGGGCCCUAGAGAAAUUUAUAGCUGUGGAGAAGCACUAUGCUGAUAUUACUGAAGAUCAAUUUGAUUUCCAUUCUUAUUGUUUGCGGAAAAUGGCACCACGUGCAUAUGUUGGAAAGCUAAAAUUUAAAGAUUGGUUGCAUUCACAUGCUUAUUUUCACAAAGUAGCAGCUGGAGCCAUUAGGUGAACAUUUUUGUUAGGAUCUGCAGCCUUUUCAAUGAUUUGCAAUAGACUUAUUCUGUUUGGUUGUGGCCUGUACGUGUAAAAUGCUAUGCAAGCUCUGUUGUCUACUUGUCUGGGUGCUUUUAGCGUCUGUCACCUAUUGUUGAUCAACACAUGCAUGUGAUGCUUCCUUUUGGGUUAGAUUCCUCUUUGCCUCCCUCCUUUUCUCUUUGUCUUUUGGGGAAUGUGGGAUUAUUGCAUACAUAUAUGUUGCAUUAAUCAUAUGUUGCAAUGAUGUGUUGUCUGAACCUUGCUUUCAAAGCAUGAAAAACUUCUUAAAGGUAACUGUUGUUCAUUACUUACCCUUGUACAACUAUUCAUUUGUUAAUAAUUAGACACUCCCAUUAUGAUAUCCAAUCUAAUUGAAGACUCUUCUAGCAGCCCCUCCAUUAAUAGGAGAGGGGAUAUCAUAUCAAGAUUUUUGAUUCCCCUCUCCUACUCUAACUUUUCCUUGAAUCCUAGACGUAAGGAUUUACAACAUUUUUGAAGACAAAACCUUGCUAAGUUUAUAAUCAAGAAAGUAUCAAGAGUCCUUUUCUUGCACUUGUUUUUGGUAGAGAAUUUUUUGAGUCAUAUGAGCAAAGCAGAAUAUAGGGUUCCAAGUUUUUUGUUGAUCAAGCAACAACCUGAUUUGAACCGGGGAAUAAGGGAUUUGCAAUCCCCCGCCUUACUGGUUAGCCAUGUCACCAAAGGUUAGAAACCAAAAAGAAUGAGUGUAUCCCCUUUAUAACUUUAGUUAUAGAUUGGAUCCAUACCUUCAAUUAGUUAUAGUAUCUCAAGUAAAAAAAUUAGUUUGUUCUUUUUUCUUUCAAUAAAAAAAAUUUCUUAAUUGAUUUAUAUUAUAAUGCAAUAAUAUAACAACAGUUAUGAGUCUAGGUAAACCCCAUAACGAAAGUUAUUGCAUGGCAACAAAAAGUUUCAACCCAACAAUGAAAAGCAGCUUGAGGUUUUUAUUCUUCAUCCCUAUGCCAUUAUUGAAAAAUUUUAUCUUUACGAGUACCCAUUUGCAUUUUCAUUGAUUUAUGAUUGGGUGAGUGUGUUUUUAUUUCAUUUUGUGUUCGUCAUCUAUUGUCUUGCUUAAAGUACUCCAGUUUAAGGGUACCCAUUUGCCUGUACUGUAGUUCAUGACAUUUGAAGAUUUUAUCUUGGUUAAUGAGGAUGUCAAAUAAUUUGAUAGAAUUUCAAGCUGUUGCUAUUGGAAAUUACCUUCUGCAGAUGUUUAGCUCAAGAAUCAGAUUGAUUUAGUUAGAUAUAUGAGGUUGAUUAGGAGAUACUGUCUGGUGUAAUAUAAAAGAUUUUGGUUGAGGGGCUCAAAUGAGCAAGUUCAAGUCCUGAAAGUAGCCUCAUUGUGUAAAAAAUGCUGAAUCCUAAAGGCUAGGAACAUUUUUCAAAUGACUCUUCUUGGUUUCUCAUCCUUCAUUGGUAGGAUUGAGGCUGAGUAAUGAUCCUCUUUAUGAGGGAAGAUUAUACAAAAGGCUGUUUAGAAAGCUUUCUCCAAAUUGCUAUAAAAACCAACCAUCAUAGCAAAACGGCAGUGUCUGUGUUUCUUCAUUUUUGGGUUCUUCCACACACUGAAAUAACCUUUGCAUAUCAACAGGAGCUGACCUCAACCUCUGGACCUUGUGAUCCUUUAUGUUGAGUUGAUGAAGCUAGCUCGUUAGAUUUCGAAGUUACUUACCAGCCAAAGACUAAUUUGUUGAAAACUAUUGGUGUUUUCACAGCAGCUUUAACAGGGACUGUGGCAAUUAACCUAUCAUGGGUUACCAACAUCCAGGUUUAUCUUUAAUUUCUUGUGCAAUCCUUUCUUUGUAGGUUGUAAUCAUUUUUUCAUCUUGGCCAAUAUUUUGUAUAUUCUUGUAUUAUCCACAGAAGCCUUUCUUAACUUGAUCUAAUUUCAUAAUGCAUAUUUCUAUGGCAUUGCUUUUUGUAAUAGGAUAUGCAGGCAUUAUCUUUGAAGAAUUUCUAGCCUUCAAUAAAAGUGGAAUAGAUUGUUGAUGGCUGUGAGUUUAUGGGUGGUAAAGAGCAUAGGGGUAAGAAUGAUUCUCAGAUGUUUAGGAUUGGACUGUGUUUUUCUGUUGUCCCUCUUCUUGUAGUUUGCAUCAUAUUUAUCAUUCUCAUAAAUUGGGAUGAAAACACAAAAUUCUGUUGCGUAUUGGAUGCUUUAUUCAGUACUAUGUCAGGUUUCAACCUGUUUCUCUCAUGUUCAUUGGUGGUGGCCUCAUGACCCGAUAUUCAUUCAAGAGUUAAUGAAAUACAAGAUGCUUGGGCUCUAAACUUAUUUCCUGAUCUACUAGUUUUAUUGGUCUAUGUUUUUCGGUGAGCAAUGGCUUGUCUUUUUAUGAAGUGAUCAUUGCAAUUUAAUAUCUUUUAUUUUUAAUUUAUGUUGGAGCCCACUUCCCAUUUAAAGGAAGGAGCAUCUCCAAUUUAAACCAAUUCCAAGGAACUACCCUAGCAAUGAAUUAAGAUAGCAAAACUAGGUACCUACCCCCAUGGUCAAUUGGGAGAGCCAAAGUUUGUGUUUGUGUGUGGCUUGUUACCAUCACUAGGAAUUCUGCAAAUGGUUACUAUGACUAUCUCCCUUUAUUAAUGAAAUUCUAUGGUCUACUUAUGCUGAUGCAUCUGACUUCUGUAUGGAAAACUUUUUUUUUUAUCAUUUUCUUAUUUAUUUUCGCUUUUAUCUGUUAAUACUUGUGUAAUAAUGCUUGGGCCAUUCACAUUUAUAGGCUCCUUCAACUGAUUUAGCUGUUUCAGAGCUGAAACAUGCAUCUGCUGAAUCGUUUUUUCUUGCUUGGUGCAAUGGUCAUUUUAGAGAUAGUUGAUGCCCCUCAAGGAUUUGAGCUGGUUACUGACAAUAUAAUCACUCUAAAGCCACAGACUCUGUUUUGGGUGGUGAGUUGAUUUCUUUCGGCUAUAGUCAUACUGACAAUUUUAUCAUUAAUGGUUAAUAUAUGAAUCUAAUUGAGAGUUCAGUUGCACGGUGAAGCAUACCCUGUGGCCUAAUUUACCCGUCGACCGUGAAAUUUGUCUAGUGGGUAUAAACCAAUGAUGUAGAUGAUUACAACUGAUAAGAUUGAUUCAGAAGAAUCUUAAAUGUGCAUACUUAUGUGUCAUGGCUAAAGUUAUUAACCUGCCGAAGAAAAUUGGAGAAAGGAUAAAAAAAAAUGCAAAAGUUAUGUUAAAGUAUUCAUUAGUUGCUUUUCAUGAUUCAAGUCCAAUCUCACCUCCUGGAAAUUAAAAUAUUAAGCUCUUAAAAUUUUUAAAUCUUGGCCCAUUCAUGUCCCAAACCAGUGCAUUAGAAGAGCCUUUGUAGUUAAUUUUCAAUUAUAAGAUAAAGAUUUGAUGUUGCAAUUUAAUCAAAAAGAUCUUAAUUAUGUCUUACCUUGAAGAAUAAAGCAGACGAUAGCCUUUAGUAUUUGCCCUAAGCCUUAUUUGUAAAUAUUCUUGUUUGAUUAAAAUCUCUUUUAGCAUUUUCCAAUCAAUAGAUGUUAGUAUUUUGGGAUUUUUUUGAUGGUAUAGGAUUUUUGUAAUUAUCAUUGAGAAACUACUUUUUUAGGAAGAUCAAUUAUCAUUUAAUGUUUUGCUCAUAGAAAUCUAUUAAUUUUUGCAUUAAUGAUACUUAAAUGGAGAGAGGUUAUCUAGGUGAGUACAAAUACCAAUAUUUUCAUCAUGUUUAUUUUAUGGCAUUGGUUGUAAAGUAGUGGGAUAUUCACAGAACAAAUGUAAUUUUUUUAAUGGAUUUUUCUUUUUGGUUCCAAAGGAACUUAUAGAGGCUACUGCUUUGCGAUACUAUAUGUUGAAUGAUAUGUCAUUUCAAAAAAAAGCUUACCUCUUUUCAUAUUGUAUUCUCUAAAACUCUAAAUACGUGUCUUUUUUCGUCUUUCAUUAGAUGUGUGUUCUCAUUGAGUUUUUCUUAUGUUAUGUUAUGAUUAUUCAUUGAGAAAGUAAGUUAAUGUUAUCUUAAGGUUAGGGUUAGUCUUUAACAGUAUUAGGUCUUCUAUCUAGAAAGUAAUGGAUAAUUAUCUUAGGAUUGUAUUGGGAUUUAAUUUAUUUAGGAUAUAUUGGAGGUUUUGAGUUUAGGUUAAGGUUAUAAUACUUUAUUUGUGAGCUUGGGGUUGUUCAAUCAGUAAAAUGAAUUGGUAAUGAAUGUGGUUAGCUGUUGCUUUAUUCAUUUCUUAUUGCCUUACUUUUACUUUAUUUGCUAGCUGUCCUUGUCUUCAUUUUAUUUACUUGCUGCAUUGGUUUUGAUCAGUUUUGGCUUGCUUUUUUUGUAGUUGUUGCAUGGCCCUCAAGUUCUUCUAUUUUUAUUUUUCAAAUAGCAUUGUUAUAGUUAUACUUGGGGGAAACACUAAAAUUAUCCUAUGACAUGACAAUUGUGUUUAACUCAAUUAAUAUGUAAUUGUUAUAUGACACGUUGAAUGGAAACAAUAAUAUCCCUAAGCAUCUUUAUAGAUGUCUUUUCUUGUUGAGAUUUUUUCAUGUUCGGUUUUGGUCCACUAAGAUUAUUUGGAAGUUUUUUGUUUUGUUGAUUUCACUCUAUUUGUUACAGAACAAGUUGGUUUGUUGGGUUCAAUUUCUGAAACUUAAUUUUGACAUGCAUCGUGGUCAAAUGUUUAAAAGGAAGAUUAUUUUCUUUUGCUGGAUUCUUUGAAACUCUCAAUAUGUGUAUGAGAGUUUCUUUGUUGUUUUGUAGUGUAGGGGGAAUUAAGGAUUCUAAAUUUCUAUGGUUGUGUAGCAUUUAAAGAUUAAAAAUUUAUGUGACUGUGUAUGAGAGUUUCCCUGUUGUUUUUCUCCUUGUGUGCUUCAAGCAUUGAAUUCAAUUUCUGUGUCUCGUGUGUGUAGGUAUGUGUUUAGGAAAGUUUUUAUUUUGUUGGUUUCACUCUAUUUGUUACAGGGUAGAUUGGUUUGUUAGGUUCAAUUUCUGUAAUUUAAUUUUGACAUGCAUUGUGGUUGAAUGCUUAAAAGGAAGAUUAUUUUCUUUUGCUGGAUUCUUUGAAACUCUAAAUAUAUGUUGUCAUAGGCUCUCAGUUGGUGGCUUUCUCAUUGAGAUUGUCUCUGGAUUCUUUUUGUGUCAUUUUUAAAUUUUUACAUAAAUUAGGGCUUUGUAACUUUAUUUUGGAAAAUUCUUUGGGUUGUACUUUCUUUAGUAUGGUUUGUGAUUCGUUGGUCUCUAUGAAACUUAUGCGUUAUGUGCUCCAAGAACGACUUGCAAUGUAGGGGGAAUUAAGGAUUCUAAAGUUGUAUGUGUGUAAGAUUUAAGGAUUAAAAAUUUGUGUGGCUGUGUAUGAGAGUUUCCUUCUUGUUUUUCUCUUUGUGUGCUCUAAGCUAAUGGCUUGCAUGAUUAGUUGAAUUCAAUUUCUGUGCUUGAUGUGUGUGUAGGUGUAUUUUGAGAGUUUUUUGUUUUGUUGAUUUCAUUUUGUUGCAGAACAGGUUGGUUUGUUGGGUUCAAUUUUUGAAACUUAAUUUUGACAUGCAUUGUGGUAAAAUGUUUAAAAGAAAGAUUAUUUCCUUUUGCUGGAUUUUUCGAAACUCUAAAUAUGUGUAUGGGAGUUUCCUUAUUGUUUUGUAGUGUAGGGAGAAUUAAGGAUUCUAAAUUUUUAUGGUUGUGUAGCAUUUAAAGAUUAAAAAUUUGUGACUGUGUAUGGGAGUUUCCCUGUUGUUUUUCUCCUUGUGUGCUUCAAGCAGUGAAUUCAAUUUUUAUGCUUCUUGUGUGUGUAGGUAUGUGUUUAGGGAGGAUUUUAUUUUGUUGGUUUCACUCUAUUUGUUACAGGGCAGAUUGGUUUGCUAGGUUCAAUUUUUGUAAUUUAAUUUUGACAUGCAUUGUGGUUGAAUGCUUAAAAGGAAAAUUAUUUUCUUUUGCUGGAUUCUUUGAAACUCUAAUUAUAUGUUGUCAUAGGCUCUCAGUUGGUGUCUUUCUUAUUGAGAUUGUUUCUGGAUUCUUCUUGUGUCAUUUUUAAAUUUUUACAUAAAUUAGAGCUUUGUAACUUUACUUUGAAAAAUUCCCUUGGGUUGUUCUUCUUUUAGUGUGGUUGUGAUCUGAUGGUCUGUUUGAAACUUAAUGCGUUGUGUGGUCUAAGAUUGACUUGCAGGAGAAUUAUGGAUUCUAAAUUUGUAUGGCUGUGUGUAGGAUUUAAGGAUUAAAAAUUUGUGUGACUCUGUGGGUAUGGGAGUUUUCUUCUUGUUUUUCUCUCUGUGGCAUGACAGAUGAGGUUCUUAGGUUUCACUGACUUGGCUUUUUUAGUUAUUGAUGAUGUUGUCAAACUUUUUAUUGUGGUUGCAUCUAAUUUGAUGAAGUUGUUUGAGAAUGCAUUAGGAGAAUGUUACUGUAAAAGAAAUUCCUGGGUUGUGGUUUCUUCAUUCAUGAGUGUGUCUAGUUGUCAUCUGUUUGUCUCUUUGAAGCUUAAUGGGCUAUGUGCUCCAAGCAUACCUUGUAGGAUAGAAGGAAUUAAAGUUUCAAAAUUUCUCUGUCUGUGUGUUUGUCGAUUUUAUUUUGUGUGUUUGUUGGUUUUAUUCUGCAAGUUGGCUUCUAAAUUUCAUUCCCAUAGCUUCUAGAUUUCAUUCCCAUAGCUUCUAGUUAAUGUCUAAUUUUUUGUUGUAGUGCUUUUGACUUGUUGGAGUUUGAUCUGAACUUCAAUUAAUAUUUGAUCUUUUAUGCUUUAACAUUCCAUUUAAAUUUUAGUUGUCUUUUGUGUACAGAUUGUAGUUUUGUAAACUUUUCUUAAUUGUGGUUGCAUUUAGUAGUCUAUACGAAAAUUAGUUGAUCGUGUACUCCGAACACGAAUUGCUAGAGAGAGGAAUUAAAGAUUGUAUAGCAGUGUACUCCAAAUUUGUAUGGUUGAGUUUUCUAUUUUUUAUUUUUUUAUUUUGCUAGUUCAACCCUGUUGCAUGACAAAUUGUAAUCUUAGGUUUAAUUUCAAAAACUUAGACUGAGGAUGAGUGCUUACAAUGAAGAGUACCUCUUUCUUCUUGUGUUGUGUUUGAUUCUUGUUUUGCUUAUUUCACUUUUACUUUGUUGCAUGAUUGAUUACUUUCUUAAGAUUAAUUUCAUAAACUUAAAUCUAGUUAAGCACUAAGAUGGAAGAUUGCCUCUUUCUUAUUGGAUUCUUUGAAAGUCUAUGAUCUUGCAUAGAAUUUUUGUUGUAUUGUAUGGUAACUUUCGAUGAUAACUGUAGUUGUUCUAGUACAUUUCAGAUCAUGAAGAGUUUAAUUAAAGUUGCUAAAAUUUUGUGUUUCUGAUUAUAAUAUAGACUUUGUUUUCUUAAGUAACACUGUUAUUAUUGGAAGCAUCCUGACUUAUGAUGUGGUUGGUGGCUGUUAUUUUUUAACUUUGGUAUAUAAUUGUUGUAUAUUUAUGUUGAGAUGCAAAACUACCUCUUAUCUUUGGCCUUUCAUUAUAAUCUUUUUUUGUUAAGGUUUUGUUGCUUUAGUUUUAAUUUCUCUUUAGGUUUUUAAAGGACUUCUACUUUCGUAUCUUUGGGUUUUCGAAUUAAAACAUUUAUAAUGUCUGAUUUGUGAGCAAUGGAUGUGAUUAGGUUUAUUUUGCAGGCAAUCUUUGCCUUGAAUCUUUCUGCUUAAGCAAUGAAGUUCAAGUUUGAUUGUCUUUAUUUCUAAAAUAGCAUUGUUCUUUAUACAUGUGACAUGUUGCUUGUGUUUAACUUAAAUGCAGCAUUGUUCUUUAUAUAUGUGGUAUGUUGUUUAUGUUUAACUUAAAUGCAGAUCACCUUAUUAUUAAGCAUUGUUGAAUGAGACUUUGACUUCAUUAAAAAUGGAAGGUGUUAUGUGUAUGUAUACUAAUUAGAUAUCUAAUUAAGAUUCUUUUGUAUUUUAUCUUAAAAUUUAUUUUUAUUUAUCGUGUAAUUUAUGUAAUUAACAAAAUUAUAUUAUAUAAUAUUUAUUUUUUAUUUAAUACAAUUUCGAUUAUUUUUUUUAUUGCUUAUUAUUUUAUUCAAACACAACACAAGAAAAAAGAGGUACUCUUCAUUGUAAGCACUCAUCCUCAGUGCGAGGUUGGAUUAAGUUUUUGAAAUUAAACUUAAGAUUACAAUUUGUCAUGCAACAGAGUUGAACUAACAAAAUAAAAAAAUAGAAAACUCAACCAUACAAAUUUGGAGUACACUGCUAUACAAUUUUUAAUUCCUCUCUCUAGCAAAUCGUGUUCGAAGUACACGAUUAACUAAUUUUCGUAUAGACUACUAAAUGCAACCACAAUUAAGAAAAGUUUACAAAACUACAAUCUGUACACAAAAAAUAAAACUAAAAUUUAAAUGGAAUGUUAAAGCAUAAGAGAUCAAAUAUUAAUUGAAGUUCAAAUCAAACUCCGGCAAGUCAAAAGCACUACAACAAAAAAUUAGACAUUAUCCAGAAGCUAUAGGAAUGAAAUCUAGAAGCCAACUUGCAGAAUAAAACCAACAAACACAGACAUAAAAAUUUUGAAACUUUAAUUCCUUCUAUCCUACAAGGUAUGCUUGGAGCACAUAGCCCAUUAAGCUUCAAAGAGACAAACAGAUGAUAACUAGGCACACUCAUGAAUGAAAAAACCACAACCCAGGAAUUUUUUUUGCAGUAACAUUCUCCUAAUGCAUUAUCAAACAACUUCAUCAAAUUAGAUGCAACCACAAUAAAAAGUUUAACAUCAUCAAUAACUAAAAAAGCCAAGCCAGUGAAACCUAAGAACCUCAUCUGUCAUGCCAUAGAGAGAAAAACAAGAAGAAAACUCUCAUACACAGAGCCACACAUUUUUAAUCCUUAAAUCUUACACACAGUCAUACAAAUUUAGAAUUCAUAAUUCCCCUGCAAGUCAUUCUUGGACCACACAGCGCAUCAAGUUUCAAACAGACCAUCACAUCACAACCCAAGGAAAUUUUUCAAAGUAAAAUUACAAAACCCUAAUUUAUGUAAAAGUUUAAAAAUGACACAAGAAGAAUCCAAAGACAAUCUCAAUAAGAAAGACACCAACUGAGAGCCUAUAACAACAUAUAAUUAGAGUUUCAAAAAAUUCAGCAAAAGAAAAUAAUCUUCCUUUUAAGCAUUCAAUCACAAUGCAUGUCAAAAUUAAAUUACAUAAAUUGAACCUAACAAAUCAAUCUGCCCUGUAACAAAUAGAGUGAAACCAACAAAAUAAAACCCUCCCUAAACACAUACCUACACACACAAGAGGCACAAAAAUUAAAUUCACUGCUUGAAACACACAAAGAGAAAAACAACAGGGAAACUCCCAUACACAUAGCCACAUAAAUUUUUAAUCCUUAAAUGCUACACAACCAUAGAAAUUUAGAAUCCUUAAUUCUCCCUACACUACAAAACAAGGAAACUCCUAUACACAUAUUUAGAGUUCCAAAGAAUUCAGCAAAAGGAAAUAAUCUUCCUUUUAAGCAUUCAAUCACAAUGCAUAUCAAAAUUAAAUUACAUAAAUUGAACCUAACAAACCAAUCUGCUCUGUAACAAAUAGAGUGAAACCAACAAAAUAAAAUCUUCCCUAAACACAUACCUACACACACAAGAGGCACAGAAAUUAAAUUUACUGCUUGAAACACACAAGGAGAAAAACAGGAAAACUCCCAUACACAUAGUCACAUAAAUUUUUAAUCCUUAAAUGCUACACAACCAUAGAAAUUUAGAAUCAUUAAUUCCCCCUACACUACAAAACAAGGAAACUCCCAUACACAUAUUGAGAGUUCCAAAGAAUCCAACAAAAGAAAAUAAUCUUCCUUUUAAACAUUUUACCACAAUGCAUGUCAAAAUUAAAUUUCAAAAAUUGAACCCAACAAACAACCUGUUCUGUAACAGAGUGAAAUCAACAAAACAAAAAACUCUCAAAAUACACCUACACACACAUCAGGCACAGAAAUUGAAUUCAACUAAUCAUGCAACCCAUUAACUUAGAGCACACAACGAGAAAAACAAGAAAACUCCUAUACACAGUCACACAAAUUUUUAAUCCUUAAAUCCUAUACACAUACAACUUUAGAAUCCUUAAUUCUCCAUAUACUACAAGUCAUUCUUGGAGCACAUAGAGCACAUAGCGCAUAAGUUUCAUAGAGACUAAAGAAUCACAAACCACACUAAAAUACAACCCAAGGAAUUUUUCAAAGUAAAGUUACAAAGCCCUAAUUUAUGUAAGUUUAAAAAUGAAACAAGAAGAAUCAAGACACAAUCUCAAUGAGAAAGACACCAACUGAGAGCCUAUGACAACAUAUAUUUAGAGUUUCAAAGAAUCCAGCAAAAGAAAAUAAUCUUCCUUUUAAGCAUUCAACCACAAUGCAUGUCAAUUAAAUUACAGAAAUUGAACCUAGCAAACCAAUCUGCCUUGUAACAAAUAAAGUGAAACCAACAAAAUAAAAACCUCUCUAAACACAUACCUACACACACAAGAGGCACAGAAAUUGAAUUCGCUGCUUGAAGCACACAUGGAAAAAAACAACAAGAAAAAUCUUAUACACAGCCACAUAAAUUUUUAAUCUUUAAAUGCAACACAACCAUAAAAAUUUAGAAUCCCUAAUUCUCCUUACACUACAAAACAACAAGGAAACUCCCAUACACAUAUUUAGAGUUUCAAAGAAUCCAGCAAAAGAAAAUAAUCCUCCUUUUAAACAUUUUACCACAAUGCAUGUCAAAAUUAAGUUUCAAAAAUUGAACCCAACAAACCAACCUGUUCUGUAACAAACAGAGUGAAAUCAACAAAACAAAAAACUCUCAAAAUACACCUACACACAUCAGGCACAGAAAUUGAAUUCAGCUAAUCAUGCAAGCCAUUAGCUUAGAGCACACAAAGAGAAAAACAAGGAAACUCACAUACACAGCCACACAAAUUUUUAAUCCUUAAAUCCUACACACAUACAACUUUAGAAUCCUUAAUUUCCCUUACAAUGCAAGUCGUUCUUGGAGCACAUAGCGCAUACGUUUCAUAGAGACCAACGAAUCACAAACCACACUAAAGGAAGAACAACCCAAGAAAUUUUUCAAAGUAAAGUUACAAAGCCUUAAUUUAUGUAAAAAUUUAAAAAUGACACAAGAAGAAUCCAGAGACAAUCUCAAUGAGAAAGACACCGAGAGCCUAUGACAACAUAUAUUUAGAGUUUCAUAGAAUCCAACAAAAAGAAAUAUUCUUCCUUUCAAGCAUUCAACCACAAUGCAUGUCAAAAUUAAAUUACAGAAAUUGAACCUAGCAAACCAAUCUGCCCUGUAACAAAUAGAGUGAAACCAACAAAAUAAAAACCUCCCUAAACACAUACCUACACACACAAGAGGCACAGAAAUUGAAUUCAAUGCUUGAAGCACACAAGGAGAAAAACAACAGAAAAACUCUCAUACUCAGUCACAUAAAUUUUUAAUCUUUAAAUGCUACACAACCAUAAAAAUUUAGAAUCAUUAAUUUCCCCUACACUACAAAACAAGGAAACUCCCAUACACAUAUUGAGAGUUUCAAAGAAUCCAGCAAAAGGAAAUAAUCUUCCUUUUAAACAUUUGACCACGAUGCAUGUCAAAAUUAAGUUUCAGAAAUUUAACCCAACAAAUCAACCUGUUUUGUAACAAAUAGAGUGAAAUCAACAAAACAAAAAACUCUCAAAAUACACCUACACACAUCAGGCACAGAAAUUGAAUUCAGCUAAUCAUGCGAGCCAUUAGCUUAGAGCACACAAAGAGAAAAACAAGGAAACUCCCAUACACAACCACACAAAUUUUUAAUCCUUAAAUCCUACACACAUACAACUUUAGAAUCCUUAAUUCUCCCUACACUGCAAGUGGUUCUUGGAGCACAUAGCGCAUAAGUUUCACAGAGACCAACGAAUCAGGAACCACACUAAAGGAAGAAGAACCCAAGAAAUUUUUCAAAGUAAAGUUACAAAGCCCUAAUUUAUGUAAAAGUUUAAAAAUGAAACAAGAAGAAUCAAGACACAAUCUCAACGAGAAAGAUACCAACUGAGAGCCUAUGACAACAUAUAUUUAAAGUUUAAAAGAAUCCAACAAAAAAAAAUAAUCUUCCUUUUAAGCAUUCAAGCCCAAUGCAUGUCAAAAUUAAGUUUUAAAAAUUUAACCUAACAAACAGAGUGAAACCAACACAACAAAAAAUUCUCAAAAGACGCCUACACACACAAGAUGCCCAAAAAUUGAAUUGACCUUAUACUGCAAGCCAUUUGCUUAGAGCACACAGCCCAUACAGAUAAUAUUCUUUUUAAGAAGCAUUUUCUAUCCUCGUCAAAAUUAAGUUUCAGAAAUUAAAAGAAAGAAACUAUUCUAUCCUACAACAAAGAGAUUGUAACAAACAAAACAAGAAACUUACAAAAUAUACAUACACAAGAGGCACAGAAAUUGAAUUCCUCCUUAUCAUGCAAGCCAUUCGCUUAGAGCAGACAACUACUAAAUAAUAUCCACACUUAAAAAGCCACAACUAAGGGUUUUUCAAAAAGUUAAAUUUCAAAAACUAAACUAAUAUAGAUAAACGUGUCACAAGAAAAAUCAAAACAUGACAUAACAAAGCCUCAAUGAGAAAAAAACGAAAACUAUGAAUGGCCAAAGAUGAUAACUAACUCCAAUAACAAAAGAGGCAAGGAAUCUUCCUUUUAACACUCAACCUUUGGGUUUGGUGGAACUUAGUUUCAGAAAUUAAAUCUAAGAAAUUAGUCCAUCAAGCAAUAAAGUUGAACCAACAAAAAAUAACUAACUCCUAACAUGCAACAGUUAUACAAACUUGAAUCUCUAAUUCUUCCCAUCUUUGCAAGCUUGCAAGCACACAAUCCAUUGAGCUCCAUAGAGACUACCAAAUAACAAUCAUACUUACGAAACCACAAUCAAAAGAUUUUUUCAAAAGCAAAAUUACAAAACUCAACUCAUGUACACAAAAAAUGAAAAAAUGAAACAAGAAGAAUCUGAUAUAACAAAAUCUUAAUGAGAAAAGAUAUCGACAGAAAUGCUUAGGAAUAUUAUGUUUCCAUUUCAAAGAGCCAAAUGCAAUUGUCAUGGAACCAAAUAAUCUUAGUGGACCAAAACCGAACAAGAAAACAAAAUCUCAACAAGAAAAGACAUCUAUAGAGAUGCUUAGGGAUAUUAUUGUUUCCAUUCAACGUGUCAUAUAACAAUUACAUACUAGUUAAGUUAAACACAAUUGUCAUGCCAUAGGAUAAUUUUAGUGUUUCCCCCAAGUAUAACUAUAACAAUGCUAUUUGAGAAAUAAAAAUAGAAGAACUUGGGGGCCAUGCAACAACUACAAAAAAAGCAAGCCAAAACUGAUCAAAACCAAUGCAGCAAGUAAACAAAAUGAAGACAAGGACAGCUAGCAAAUAAAGUAAAAGUAAGGCAAUAAGAAAUGAAUAAAGCAACAGCUAACCACAUUCAUUACCAACUCAUUCCUUAUACUGUUAAAGACUAACCCUAACCUUAAGACAACAUUAACUUACUUUCUCAAUGAAUAAUCAUAACAUAACAUAAGAAAAACUCAAUGAGAACACACAUCUAAUGAAAGACGAAAAAAGACACAUAUUUAGAGUUUUAGAUAAUACAAUAUGAAAAGAGGUAAGCUUUCUUUUGAAGUGGCAUAUCAUUCAACAUAUGGUAUCGCAAAGCAGUCGCCUCUAUAAGUUCCUUUGGAACCAAAAAAAAAAAUCCAUUAAAAAAAUUACAUUUGUUCUGUGAAUAUCCCACUACUUUACAACCAAUGCCAUAAAUAAACAUGAUGAAAAUAUUGGUAUUUGUACUCACCUAGAUAACCUCUCUCCAUUUUAGUAUCAUUAAUGCAAAAAUUAAUAGAUUUCUAUGAGCAAAACAUUAAAUGAUAAUUGAUCUUCCUAAAAAAGUAGUUUCUCAAUGAUAAUUACAAAAAUCCUAUACCAUCAAAAAAAUCCAAAAUACUAACACCUAUUGAUUGGCAAAUGCUAAAAGAGAUUUUAAUCAAACAAGAAUAUUUACAAAUAAGGCUUAGGGCAAAUACUAAAGGCCAUCGUCUGCUUUAUUCUUCAAGGUAAGACAUAAUUAAGGUCUUUUUGAUUAAGUUGCAACAUCAAAUCUUUAUCUUAUAAUUGAAAAUUAACUACAAAGGCUCUUCUAGUGCACUGGUUUGGGACAUGAAUGGGUCAAGAUUUAAAAAUUUUAAGAGCUUAAUUUUUUAAUUUCCAAGAGGUGAGAUUGGACUUGAAUCAUGAAAAGCAACUAAUGAAUACUUUAACAUAACUUUUGCAUUUUUUUUUUAUCCUUUCUCCAAUUUUCUUCGGCAGGUUAAUAACUUUAGCUAUGACACAUAAGUAUGCACAUUUAAGAUUCUUCUGAAUCCAUCUUAUCAGUUGUAAUCAUCUACAUCAUUGGUUUAUACCCACUAGACAAAUUUCACGAUCGGCGGGUAAAUUAGGCCACAGGGUAUGCUUCACCGCGCAACUGAACUCUCAAUUAGAUUCAUAUAUUAACCAUUAAUGAUAAAAUUGUCAGUAUGACUAUAGUCGAAAGAAAUCAACUCACCACCCAAAGUAGAGUCCAUGACUUUAGAGUGGUUAUAUUGUCAGUAACCAGCUCAUAUCCUUGAGGGGCAUCAACUAUCUCUACAAUGGUCAUUGCACCAAGCAAGAAAAAACGAUUCAGCAGAUGCAUGUUUCAGCUCUGAAACGCUAAAUCAAUUGAAGGAGCCUACAAAUGUGAAUGGCCCAAGCAUUAUUACACAAGUAUUAACAGAUAAAGGCGGAAAUAAAUAAGAAAAUGAUAAAAAAAAAAGUUUUCCAUACAGAAGUCAGAUGCAUCAGCAUAAGUAGACCAUAGAAUUUCAUUAAUAAAGGGAGAUAGUCAUAGUGACCAUUUUCAGAAUUCCUAGUGAUGGUAACAAGCCACACACAAACACAAACUUUGGCUCUCCCACUUGACCAUGGGGGUAGGUACCUAGUUUUGCUAUCUUAAUUCAUUGCUAGGGUAGUUCCUUGGAAUUGAUUUAAAUUGGAGAUGCUCCUUCCUUUAAAUGGGAAGUGGUCUCCAACAUAAAUUAAAAAUAAAGGAUAUUAAAUUGCAAUGAUCACUUCAUAAAAAGACAAGCCAUUGCUCACCGAAAAACAUAGACCAAUAAAACUAGUAGAUCAGGAAAUAAGUUUAGAGCCCAAGCAUCCUGUAUUUCAUUAACUCUUGAAUGAAUACCGGGUCAUGAGGCCACCACCAAUGAACAUGAGAGAAACAGGUUGAAACCUGACAUAGUACUGAAUAAAGCAUCCAAUACGCAACAGAAUUUUGUGUUUUCAUCCCAAUUUAUGAGAAUGAUAAAUAUGAUGCAAACUACAAGAAGAGGAACAGCAGAAAAACACAGUCCAAUCCUAAACAUCUGAGAAUCAUUCUUACCCCUAUGCUCCUUACCACCCAUAAACUCACAGCCAUCAACAGUCUAUUCCACUUUUAUUGAAGGCUAGAAAUUCUUCAAAGAUAAUGCCUGCAUAUCCUAUUACAAAAAGCAAUGCCAUAGAAAUAUGCAUUAUGAAAUUAGAUCAAAUUAAGAAAGGCUUCUGUGGAUAAUACGAGAAUAUACAAAAUAUUGGCCAAAGAUGAAAAAAUGAUUACAACCUACAAAGAAAGGAUUGCACAAGAAAUUAAAGAUAAACCUGGAUGUUGGUAACCCAUGAUAGGUUAAUUGCCACAGUCCCUGUUAAAGCUGCUGUGAAAACACCAAUAGUUUUCAACAAAUUAGUCUUUGGCUGGUAAGUAACUUCGAAAUCUAACGAGCUAGCUUCAUCAACUCAACAUAAAGGAUCACAAGGUCCAGAGGUUGAGGUCAGCUCCUGUUGAUAUGCAAAGGUUAUUUCAGUGUGUGGAAGAACCCAAAAAUGAAGAAACACAGACACUGCCGUUUUGCUAUGAUGGUUGGUUUUUAUAGCAAUUUGGAGAAAGCUUUCUAAACAGCCUUUUGUAUAAUCUUCCCUCAUAAAGAGGAUCAUUACUCAGCCUCAAUCCUACCAAUGAAGGAUGAGAAACCAAGAAGAGUCAUUUGAAAAAUGUUCCUAGCCUUUAGGAUUCAGCAUUUUUUACACAAUGAGGCUACUUUCAGGACUUGAACUUGCUCAUUUGAGCCCCUCAACCAAAAUCUUUUAUAUUACACCAGACAGUAUCUCCUAAUCAACCCUCAUAUAUCUAACUAAAUCAAUCUGAUUUCUGAGCUAAACAUCUGCAGAAGGUAAUUUCCAAUAGCAACAGCUUGAAAUUCUAUCAAAUUAUUUGACAUCCUCAUUAACCAAGAUAAAAUCUUCAAAUGUAUGAACUAGCAGUACAGGCAAAUGGGUACCCUUAAACUGGAGUACUUAUAAGCAAGACAAUAGAUGACAAGAGACACAAAAUGAAAUCAAAAAACACUCACCCAAAUCAUAAAUCAAUGAAAAUGCAAAUGGGUACUCGUAAAGAUAAAAUUUUUCAUAAUGGCAUAAGCAUGAAAAGAACAAAAACCUCAAGCUGCUUUUCAUUGUUGGGUUGAACUUUUUGUUGCCGUGCAAUAACUUUCGUUAUAGGAUUUACCUAAACUCAUAAUUGUUGUUAUAUUAUUACAUUAUAAUAUAAAUCAAAUUAAGAAUUUUUUUUAUUGAAAGAAAAAAAGAACAAUACUAAUUUUUUUACUUGAGAUACUAUAACUAAUUGAAGGUAUGGAUCCAAUCUAUAACUAAAGUUAUAAAGGGGAUACACUCAUUCUUUUUGGUUUCUAACCUUUGGUGACAUGGCUAACCAGUAAGGCGGGGGAUUGCAAAUCCCUUAUUCCCCGUUUCAAAUCAGGUUGUUGCUUGAUCAACAAAAAACUUGGAACCCUAUAUUCUGCUUUGCUCAUAUGACUCAAAAAAUUUUCUCUAGCAAAAACAAGUGCAAGAAAAGGACUCUUGAUACUUUCUUGAUUAUAAACUUAGCAAGGUUUUGUCUUCAAAAAUGUUGUAAAUCCUUUCAUCUAGGAUUCAAGGAAAAGUUAGAGUAGGAGAGGGGAAUCAGAAAUCUUGAUAUGAUAUCCCCUCUCCUAUUAAUGGACGGGCUGCUAGAAGAGUCUUCAAUUAGAUUGGAUAUCAUAAUGGGAGUGUCUAAUUAUUAACAAAUGAAUAGUUGUACAAGGGUAAGUAAUGAACAACAGUUACCUUUAGGAAGUUUUUCAUGCUUUGAAAGCAAGGUUCAGACAACACAUCAUUGCAACAUAUGAUUAAUGCAACAUAUAUGUAUGCAAUAAUCCCCAUUCCCCAAAAGACAAAGGGAAAAAGAGGGAGGCAAAGAGGAAUCUAACCCAAAAGGAAGCAUCACAUGCAUGUGUUGAUCAACAAUAGGUGACAGAGGCUAAAAGCACCCAGACAAGUAGACAACAGAGCUUGCAUAGCAUUUUACAAGUACAGGCCACAACCAAACAGAAUAAGUCUAUUGCAAAUCAUUGAAAAGGCUGCAGAUCCUAACAAAAAUGUUCACCUAAUGGCUCCAGCUGCUACUUUGUGAAAAUAAGCAUGUGAAUGCAACCAAUCUUUAAAUUUUAGCUUUCCAACAUAUGCACGUGGUGCCAUUUUCCGCAAACAAUAAGAAUGGAAAUCAAAUUGAUCUUCAGUAAUAUCAGCAUAGUGCUUCUCCACAGCUAUAAAUUUCUCUAGGGCCCGUCCAAAAUCACCAUGUCGAAAGUAACUUUCAUCAGAAGCAAGUUCAUACCUUCAAAAGAUGGAUAACACUCAGUAGGUGUACCCAAAUUAUAAUUAGAGACAACAACAUGUGGAAGGUAAUAAACAAAAACAUACCACAUGCACUGCAUGUCAUGAAGGUUGUUGUGCUGGCCCCCAUCUUUCGUGAACAAAACAGCAGUUUUUCCUGCCAAAGCCACCUUCAAAAGUAGAAAAAGCUUGUGAACAGUACAAUAAUACCGAAAGAAAUUUAGUGACAAAUAUUAACUAUGACAAAAGAUGAAGUGGGGAAGCCUUAGAACCUGAUCAGACUGCAACAUUCGCUUCACAGAUUAACUGUUUACAUAGCGAUCUGCAAGAUCCAUACACCUAGCUUCAUCUGUCAAUGAAGCCACAGCUACCAAAUCACCAACAUGUUUCAGUAUCCGACUCUGUCACCAAAGAGAAGUAAAUAAUAUACACAUAGACCCAGCUUCAAGAAAAUUCCAAGAACUUCAACAAAAAGAUCAAGAAACAAUAGCCAGUCAAACUAAAAAACACCAGUCAAACUAAUACAAAAAAAAAAAAAAUCUCACCUGGAUAUAAAGGCUAGAAGAGGCUUAAUGCAAUCAAUUGCCGCUUUACGAAAUUUGUUUCCUUGCAGUAAAUCAAGUGGUAUCCUCUAAAAAUUGAGAAAACAAAGUUUUAAUAUAAGUCCUAGAACAUUCAUCACACAUCAUAAAGGAAGUAGCAUUUAUUGGCAAUAAUGAUGCACAUUGUAACAGCAAUAAUUACAAUUCUCAUGAAUGAAUACAUAACAAAUGUGGGUUACAGGAAGAAAACAAUUUAAAUACAUCCUCACUGCAUGAGUCAAAUUCCAAAAGCUCUAGAGUUUGACACUUUAUUUCAAUCAUGCCAUAACCUGGCCCAUCGUCAAAAGGUUUUUAUAUAGGAAAGUCAGUUUAACUAAAAGAAUGAGAUAAAGAUAGCCACUAAUAAAAGAAUUAGCCACCAUGUCAACUCUCUAGGGGUGAAGCAUAUGAAAGCAUAAUUUUAACCACCUAGAGUUCUUACUAUUGUCACAUCAAGACAUCAAUGAAGUAUUUCAGCAUAAUACCACAACUAUCUAUUUCUAGAUUAUUUAAGAAUAUCACAAGCCAUCGAAUGGACUGUGUCUAUUGUAGAACCACAUCACUAGAUUUUUGUCACAUAAUUUCUUAUCAAGCCAUCAAGAAAAACAAGAUCCCUACAAGAGUAUUUGUAAAAAUAGCCGCCCCUCCUCUCUCUAGAAAAGGGGAGAAAGCUUGAUAGCUCUACAAAAAAGUAAGGUUUUCGUUGGAUUUGCAUCAUGUGAUUCUAUAAAUAAGAGAGAGAAGAAAUCCAGAGUAAAUAUAAUGAACAGAACAUCCCAAGGUACCAUUUGGAGCUUAUUAAAAAAAAAUACCAAACAGAAAAUCAAAUUAAUAUGACUAACAGCUAAGACAUAAUAAAACAGCUUACACUAGCAAUAUCAUUAUCUACAGUCUAUAACGAGAACACAUUUUAUCAUCAGAAAAAAAUAGAAAAAAAUCAAAUCGGGCAUUAUUUGAAGUAAAAAAAUUUAAAUAAAAUUAAGAUGGUAGAAAUCAAACCUUCAUAAGGUCUCCAAAUUCCUCACACAUUCCAAUUUGUCCUCCACCAACUAAUUCUCUACUUAACAGCCUCAAGUUUCUUGGUCUGCUCCAAGGUAUAUAACAUUUCUGCAACUGCCACUAUAUGCAUCAAAGAUUCUGCAGAACCAAAAAGUGAAAUUUGCAUGAUUAUACAACCUACCUCAAGGAACCUAAAAUGCAUCAUGUUAUGUAAAGGUCGUAAUACCUUCAUGUUUACCAAGGAAAACUUUGUUCGCCUCACUAAGAGUUUUCUCCUGCAAUUGACUGCAGAAAGAGAAAAUAAAGGGAUUUAAUGCAUCAGGGAUCAAAAUAAUAAUAGUAACAGUAACACAACAAAAUUCUAGUAGGGGGAAUAGCUAUCAUAAAACCAUUUCAAAGAGAACCUGAUGGAUGGACGCUCAGCUUCUAAGACACUCCAAACAAGUUUUUCAGCAUCAGUUAAUGGAGCAGGCAUUGAGCCCAAUUUAUGGAAAAAUUUAAUCUGCAUUAGAUUAAAUUCAAAUAAGCAUUGUAAAGAUUACAUGAUCUUUGUAUCUAAGAACAGAAAAGAAUGCAGUUGUGCAUGGCAGUGCACAAAUAUGGUAGGGCAGAUGUUACAUGAAUCUGGAUUCUCAGCAUCCAGCCUUAGCAGUUGCUUUACAGCCUUCGCAGUUGCUUUACAGCCUUCAGGAAAACAAAAUAAAACCAAGACAAACGUACUAAUAUGAGCUCAUGAAAUAGUAAAAGUACUACUGCACAAAACCAUUGUUCUACAACUCAAAGAUAUGUCGUGCAAACUAUCUAAUUCACACAUAAAUUCAUUGAGUGAGUAGAGCAAUAAGAAAAGGAUGUUUGGUUAAACGGUACAGUUUCUUUAUUUCAAGAACAUAUCCACAGGCAGAAAGUGAAAAAAGAGAGGAGAAAACAAGAGAAGGGGCUUCCUCACAAAUCACUAGCUGACAAUUAAAUAUCAGUUCUAGUUGACCAAACACAAAAAGAACAAGAAACACAUCUCAUGUUCAAUUCUAGGAAAAUAUAAUACCUGAAAGGCAAGCAAAAUCUUCUGCUUUCUCAUAUUUACUUCAACAGAAAGUAAGUGCGUCUCCAAAGAAUCAGGUGAGUUCUUCUGAAGCAACUUCAAGUACUUCGUUGCUUCUGACAAGGGAUACUCUGUCUGAAAAAAAAAAUACAGAUUAAACAGUCUUAGCUUAAUAGGCAUUAGCGUAACACAUUUUUACAGCACGAGGACUUUAAUCAGGAAUCUAAAGCACAGGGAAAAGAUAAUAAUAGGUAACCUUCAAUAAUUUUUCUCCAAAAGGAUAAGGAUCUACAGGUUUAACAUGUCGUUUCCCACACUUAGAGAUGCCACUAGAACUUGAUUCUUCAUUUUUCUCCUCUGCCUCUUAAAAUAAUACACGGCAUCAGAAUGAAAUCAUCAAAGAGAGUGUUAGCCAAGAAUCACCAAAACAAGCUGAUAUACUUUCUUAGCUCGUUCCACCUUCCUCUGCUUCUUCAUUUUCUUUUUCUGAGAAGGAGUCUUUGAUGUGUCAUCCUCUUCUUCAGCCAGUGAGUUCAAAGGAGAAUCAAACAACUUUAGAUAGCAUUUGCACUUCAAAAUCCAAUAAUUAUCACAAUGCAGAAAGAAAAGGUUCAAAAUUGAAGUAAUCACCAGUUUCAAGCCAAGAGUUUCAGAGAAAGAAACACCAACAUAGAAAUGGGACAAUGGAUCAAUCACAAAAACUAUUACUUAAUUGUUGCAUGGCCUGUCACUAUAUCAUCCCAUUCCAUUUCACCAUCAAAUCAAUAAGAUCAAUAUAAAAAGCUAUAUAAUCAACAAAUAAAUUCUGGUACGGUAACAUGCAAUUCUCCAUCCUUAACCCAACAGAAAUCCCAGGUGCCGCCUUCCUAUCAUUUAAAAAGCCACAAUCUCAAAUUUCAAUAUGCCUGCAAGGAACAUUUAAUCCUUUCAGUAAUAACAUCACAAGAAUAUGAACUUACAAAAGAUAUAACGAAAGCAAAUUGAGACUACCAAGCAAAAUUUUUAUCCUGUUUGGCAUAUACCACAAGGUCUCGACAUAAUAUAAUAAGAAUCCCCUAAGUACAACGUAAAACACCAUCCUAAGUAUGAAACAAGUAUAAUAACCUUAUAAAAAUCAGAAACUAUAAUCUAGAAUACUUGUUAAAUUAAAUUUGACUUGAGCAUCAUUUUGAACACAAUUUUUUUAAGCAGAUCCCAAAUAUUUGCAUCUUCUUUUAAUAGUUAAUAAUUUGUGGAGGAGCAUUUGAACUUCAGACCUCCUACCAGGGCAAGAGGAGUUAUUGCAACUAAGGUAUGUGUAAAGCCACAAAAAAAAAAAAAAAACUGCUUUAUAAUAUAACAUAAUUGGGCUUAUUAAUAGCAUUUGUUUCUGUAUGGUAAGGAUAGACAUGUAUCCACAGUUGAAAAUUCGUUAAUGGUACAUUUUCCUAUAUAUAUGUAUUGGUCCAUCAGGUAAUAAUAAAACAAAGAGACGGGGCACAAAGGAUUGUCUUACAUAGCAUUCUGAUACAUAAUUACUAAUUUAAUCACAUACAUAUCAAUUAGAUCAACAAAUGAAUCAACAACAGCCCUCUUAUCUUGAACUCUAAAACUCUCUUUUGGUAUUCCUAUACAAAUGAAAUUGCAAAAACAGAUUGAUCUACAUUAUUUGAAAAAAUCUAUAAAGUUCAUAACGAACUUAAAAUCAUUGUGCAUAAUCAAAAUGACUAGUAUUGUAGACACCGAUUUUGCCGGGCUCUACUGUUUUAAUAAUUAAUAAUAAUAUUUUUAAUAAAAAAAUUAAUUAAUGAACAAACAAAAAAAAAAACAAACAAAAAGAAACAGAAUAAGACAAGAAAUCAGGGAGUUGGUAUGGCGGCCGCUGUCGCUAGCCUCCCGACCAAACCUACCCCGACCAGCCACCCUACAGCCACCAACCCAACUAUAAGGAAUUUAAAAAUGAAAAUAAGAAAUAACAAGAAAUUUGUAAAAAAAUUAGGAAAAGAAUAAAAAAUGAAAAGAUUUAUGAAAAAAAAAUCGAAGUAUAAAAAAAAAUGGAAACAAGAAAUAAAAAGAAUUUUGUGAAAAUAAAAAUAAAAUAAGAAAAAAAUAUUAAAGCAAAACAAAAAAGAUAAAUAAAAUACAAAAAAAUAUAAAAUAUAAAAUAAACAAAAAUGCGAUAAAAAAUAUAAGAAGUAAGAAAAUCAAAAAUAAAAAAAGAGAAAAAUGAAAUGAAAUGAAAAAAUACAAAAAAAAAACAAAAAAUUGAAAAACAUACAAAAAUAAUAAGAAAACAAUAUAAAAAAUCAAAGACAAAAAAUUAAAAAUGAGAAAAGUUAAUGCAAAAUAAAAAUGAAAACAAAAGAAGAAAAUGCAACAAAAAAAAAACUAUAAGAAUUUAAAAAUGAAAAUAAGAAAUAAAAAGAAAUUUGUAAAAGAAUUAGGAAAAGAAUAAAAAUGAAAAGAUUUAUGAAAAAAAAGCCAAGUAUAAAAAAAAUGGAAACAAGAAAUAAAAAGAAUUUUGUGAAAAAAAUUAGAAAAACAAGAAAAAAUGAAAAAUUGAAGAGGCAAAAAUAUGAAAUUAAAUAAAAAGAUGAAAAAGUUUUCUAGAAAUUUUUAAAACAAAGAAAAAUGUGAAAGCAAAAAAAAAUAUGAAGCACAUGAAAAGAUAAGUAAAAAAUGAAAAGGAAAAAGAGUUAAUGAAAAAUUAUAAAAAUAAACAAAAAAUAACCAACAACGAUAAAUAAAAAAAGAAAACAUGAAAAAGUUAUGAAAACAUGAAUAAAAAUUAUGAAAAUAAAAAUAAAAUAAGAAAAAAUAAUUAAAGCAAAACAAAAAAGAAUAAAUACAAAAAAAAUAUAUAAUAUAAAAUAAAUAAAAAUGCGAUAAAAAAUAUAAGAAGUAAGAAAAUCAAAAAUAAAAAAAAGAAGAAAAAUGAAAUGAAAUGAAAACAUACAAAAAAUAAAAAACCUAAAAAAUUGAAAAAACAAUAUAAAAUAAUAAAAACAAAUUAAAAAGAAUCAAUGCCAAAAAUAAAAAUGAAACAAAAGAAGAAAAUGCAACAACAAAAACUAUAAGAAUUUAAAAUGAAAAUAAGAUAUAAAAAGAAAUUUGUAAAAGAAUUAGGAAAGAACAAAAUGAAAAGAUUUAUGAAAAAAAAAUCCAAGUAUAAAAAAAAUGAAACAAGAAAUAAAAAGAAUUUUGUGAAAAAAAAUUAGAAAAACAAGAAAAAAUAAAAAUGAAGAGACAAAAAUAUGAAAUUAAAUAAAAGAUGAAAAGAUAAGUAAAAAAUGAAAGGGAAAAAGUUAAUGAAAAAUUAUAAAAAUAAAACAAAAAAUAACCAACAACGAUAAAUAAAAAAAAUAAAAAAAUAAAAAAAUAAAAAACAUGAUAAAAAUUUAUGAAAAUAAAAAUAAAAUAAGAAAAAAAUAUUAAAGCAAAACAAAAAAGAUAAAUAAAAUACAAAAAAUAUAUAUAAUAUAAAAUAAACAAAAAUGCGAAUAAAAAAUAUAAGAAGUAAGAAAAUCAAAAAUAAAAAAAAAAAACAGAAAUGAAAUGAAAUGAAAAAAUACAAAAAAAAACAAAAAAUUGAAAAACAUACAAAAAAUAAUAUAAAAAAUCAAAGACAAAAUUAAAAAUGAGAAAAGUUAAUGCAAAUAAAAAAUGAAAACAAAAGAAGAAAAUGCAACAACAAAAAACUAUAAGAAUUUAAAAAUUAAAAUAAGAAAUAAAAGAAAUUUGUAAAAGAAUUAGGAAAAGAAUAAAAAUGAAAAGAUUUAUGAAAAAAAAAUCCAAGUAUAAAAAAAAAUGGAAACAAGAAAUAAAAAAAAUUUUGUGAAAAAAAUUAGAAAACAAGAAAAAAUAAAAAAUGAAGAGACAAAAAUAUGAAAUUAAAUAAAAGAUGAAAAAGUUUUCUAAAAAUUUUUAAAACAAAGAAAAAUGUGAAAACAAAAAAAAAUAUGAAAGCACAUGAAAAGAUAAGUAAAAAAAUGAAAAGGGAAAAAGAGUUAAUGAAAAAUUAUAAAAAUAAAACAAAAAUAAACAACAACGAUAAAUAAAAAAAGAAAAGAAAAAAAUAAAAAAAUAAAAAAAUAAAAACAUGAUAAAAAUUUAUGAAAUAAAAAUAAAAUAAGAAAAAAAUAUUAAAGCAAAACAAAAAGAUAAAUAAAUACAAAAAAAUAUAAAAUAUUAAAAUAAACAAAAAUGCGAUAAAAAUAUAAGAAGUAAGAAAUCAAAAAUAAAAAAAAGACAAAAUGAAAUGAAAUGAAAAAAUACAAAAAAAAUACAAAAAUUGAAAAAAUACAAAAAUAAUAAAAAAACAAUAUAAAAAUCAAAGACAAAAUUAAAAAUGAGAAAAAGUUAAUACAAAUUAAAAAUUGAAACAAAAGAAGAAAAUGCAACAACAAAAACUAUAAGAAUUUAAAAAUGAAAUAAGAAAUAAAAGAAAUUUGUUAAAAGAAUUAAGAGAAGAAUAAAAUGAAAAGAAUUUAUGAAAAAAAAUCCAAAGAAGUAUAAAAAAAAUGGAAACAAGAAAUAAAAAGAAUUUUGUGAAAAAAUUAAAAAAACAAGAAAAAUAAAAAAUGAAGAGGCAAAAUAUGAAACAAAAUAUAAAAGAAAAAAGUUUAUGAGAUAUUUUUAAAACAAAGAAAAAUGUGGAACCAAAAAAAAUACUGAAAGCACAUGAAAAGAUAAGUAAAAUGAAAAAUUUUAAUAAUGGAAAAAAAGAAGAAAGAAAAGCAAGUUAAUGAAAAAUAUAAAAUAAAAGAAAAAAUAACCAACAACGAUAAAUAAAAAAAGAUAGAAAAAUAAAAAAAACAUGAUAAAAUUAUUAAAAUCAUAAAUAGAAAAAAGAAAAAAACAAAAUAAAUAAAGAAAAAAUAAUUAAAGCAAAACAAAAGAUAAAAAAUACAAAAAAAUAUAAUAUAAAUAAACAAAAUACGAUAAAAUAUAAGAAGUAAGAAAAUCAAAAUAAAAAAUAAAAAAAGAAAGAAGUGAAAUGAAAUGAGAAAAUAUAAAAAAAAUACAAAAAUUGAAAAACAUAUAAAAAUAUAAGAAAACAAUAUAAAAUCAAAGCAAAAAUUAAAAAUGAAAACAAAGAAGAAAAUGCAACAAAAAAAAACUAUAAGAAUUUAAAAAUGAAAACAAGAAAUAAAAAGAAAUUUGUAAAAGAAUUAAGAAAAGAAUAAAAAUGAAAGACAAAUUUAUGAAAAAAAAUCCUAGGAAGUAUAAAAAUAAUGGAAACAAGAAAUAAAAAGAAUUUUGUGAAAAAAAUUAGAAACACAAGAAAAAUAAAAAAUGAAAAGGCAAAAAUAUGAAACAAAAUAAAAGAUAAAAUAGUUUUUAUAGAAAUUUUUAAAACAAAGAAAAAUGUGAAAACAAAAAAAAUAUGAAAACACAUGAAGAUAAGUAAAAAAGUGAAAAAUUUAAAAGAAAAAGGAAAAAUGUUAAUGAAAAAUUACAAAAAUAACAAAUAACAACGAUAAAUAAAAAAAGAUAGAAAAAUAAAAAAAUAAAAACAUGAUAAAAAUUUAUGAAAAUAUAAAUAAAGAAAGAGAUAAAAAAUAAAAAUAAAUAAGAAAGAAAUAUUAAAGCAAAACAAAAAAGAUAAAUAAAAUACAAAAAAUAUAAAAUAUAAACAACAAAAAAUGCGAUAAAAAAUAUAAGAAGUAAGAAAAUCAAAAAUUAAAAAUUAAAAAAGACAAAUGAAAUGAAAUUGAAAAAAUAGAAAAAAAAUAAAAAAAAUUGAAAAACAUAUAAAACAUAAUAAGAAAACAAUAUAAAAAAUCUAAGCCAAAAAAACUAAAAAUGAAAACAAAAGAAGAAAAUGCAACAAAAAAAACUAUUAUUUAUUUAAAAAUGAAAAUAUGAAUAAAAAGAAAUUUGUAAAAGAAUUAAGAAAAGGAAUAAAAAUGAAAAGACAGAUUUAUGAAAAAAAAAAUCCUAGGAAGUAUAAAAAAAAAUAGAAACAAGAAAUAAAAAGAAUUUUGUGAAAAAUUAUUAAAAAAACAAGAAAAAAAUAAAAAAGCAAAAAAGCAAAAAUAUAUGAAACAAGAAAAAAUAAAAAAUGAAUAGACAAAAAUAUGAAACACAAAUAAAAGAUAAAAAAGUUUUGUAGAAAUUUUUAAAACAAAAGAAAAAAUGUGAAAACAAAAAAAAAUAUAUGAAAGCACAUUAAAGAUAAGUAAAAAAAUAAAAAAUUUUAAAAGAAAAAAAGAAAAAAGUUAAUGAAAAAUUAUAAAAAUAAAAUUGAAAAACCAACAACGAUAAAAAAAAUAAAAAAAAAGAAAAAGAUAGAAAAAUAAAUAAAUAAAAAACAUGUUAAAAAUUUAUGAAAAUAUAAAUAAAGAAAGAAAUAAAAAAUAAACCAAAUAAAAAAAAAAUAAAAAAAAAAUAUUAAAGCAAAGCCAAAAAAGAUAGAUAAAAUACAAUAAAAUAUAAAUAUAAAAUAAACAAAAAUGCAAUAAAAAUAUAAGAAGUAAGAAAAUCAAAAAUAAAAAAUAAAAUGAAAUGAAAUGAGAAAAUACAAAAAAAUACAAAAAAAAUGAAAAACAUAAAUAAUAAGAAACAAUAUAAAAAUCAAAGACAAAAAUUAAAAAUGAGAAAAGUUAAUGCAAAAUAAAAAUUAAAACAAAAGAAGAAAUGAAAUAAAAAAACUAUAAGAAUUUAAAAUGAAUAUAAGAAUAAAAAGAAAUUUGUUAGAUAAAAAGAAAAGAAUAAAAUGAAAAGACAAGAUUUAUGAGAAAAAAAAUCCAAAGAAGUAUAAAAAAAUGAAAACAAGAAAUAAAAAGAAUUUUGUGAAAAAAUUAGAAAAACAAGAAAAAUAAAAAAUGAAAAGGCAAAAUAUGAAAUAAAAUAAAAAGAUAAACAGUUUUGUAGAAAUUUUUAAAACAAAGAAAAAUGUGAAAACAAAAAAAAUAUAAACACAUGAAAAGAUAAGUAAAAAAUGAAAAAUUUAAAAGGGAAAAAGGAAAAAGAGUUAAUGAAAAAUUAUAAAAAUAAAACGAAAAAUAAACCAACAAUGAUAAAUAAAAAAAAAUAGAAAGAUAAAAAAAAUAAAAAACAUGAUAAAAAUUAUGAAAAUAUAAAUAAAGAAAGAAAUAACAAUAAAAAUAAAAUAAAAUAAGAAAAAAAUAUUAAAGCAAAACAAAAAAAUAAAUAAAGACAAAAAUAUAAAAUAUAAAUAAAGAAAAUGCGAUAAAAAUAUAAGAAAAUCAAAAAUACAAAAAUACAAAAUGAAAUGAAAUGAAAAAAUAAAAAAAUACAAAAAUUAAAAAACAUAUAAAAAAAUAAUAUAAAAAAUCAAAGACAAAAAAAUAAAUAAGAGAAAAGUUAAUGCCAAAUAAAAAUGAAACAAAAGAAGAAAAUGCAACAAAAAAAAAUUAUAAGAAUUUAAAAAUGAAAAUAAGAAAUAAAAAAAAUUUGUAAAAAGAUUAAGAAAGGAAUAAAAAUAAAAAGAAAAGAUUUAUGAAAAAUAAAAAAUUCAAGAAAGUGUAAAAAAAAAUGGAAACAAGAAAUAAAAAAACUGUCAAAAAAUUAGAAAAACAAGAAAAAAUAAAAAAUGAAGAGGCAAAAAAUAUGAAAUAAAAUAAAAAGAAAGUUUUGUAAAAAUUUUAAAACAAAGAAAAAAGUGAAAACAAAAAAAAUGAAAGCACAAAAAAAUAAGUAAAAAAAAAUUUUAAAAGAAAAAAGUUAAUGAAAAACAAAAAAGAUAAAACAAAAUACAAUAAAAAUAUAAAAAUCAAAAAAUCAAAAAUAAAAAAAUAUAUAUUAAAUAAAUAAUUAUAUUAUCUCUUAAUAAAAGAUAAAUAUUAUACAAUCCAAAAUAAUAAAUAAAAUAAUAAGCAAUAAAAAAAUAAUCGAAAUUGUAUUAAAUAAAAAAUAAUAUUAUCUAAUAUAAUUUUUGUUAAUUACAUAAAUUACACGAUAAAUAAAAAUAAAUUUCCAAGAUAAAAUACAAAAGAAUCUUAAUUAGAUAUCUAAUUAGUAUACAUACACAUAAACACCUUCAUUUUUAAUGAAGUCAAAGUCUCAUUCAACAAUGCUUAAUAAUAAGGUGAUCUGCAUUUUAAGUUAAACAUAAACAACAUGCCACAUAUAUAUAAAGAACAAUGCUGCAUUUAAGUUAAACACAAGCAACAUGGCACAUGUAUAAAGAACAAUGCUAUUUUAGAAAUAAAGACAAUUAAAACUUGAACUUCAUGCUCAAGCAAGGCAAAGAUUGCCUGCAAAAUAAACCUAAUAACAUCCAUUGCUCACAAAUCAGAUAUUAUAAAUGUUUUAACUCGGAAACCCAAAGAUACGAAAGUAAAAGGGCCUUUAAAAACCUAAAGAGAAAUUAAAACUAAAGCAACAAACCUUAACAAAAAAAGAUUAUAAUGAAAGGCCAAAGAUAAGAGUAGUUUUGCAUCUCAACAUAAAUAUACAACAAUUAUAUACCAAAGUUAAAAAACAACAGCCACCAACACAUCAUAAGUCAGGAUGCUUCCAAUAUAAACAGUAUUACUUAAGAAAACAAAGUCUAUAUUAUAAUCAGAAACACAGAAUUUUAGCAACUUUAAUCAAACUUUCAUGAUCUGAAAUGUACUAAACAAGUACAAUUAUCAUCGAAAUUACCAUACAAUACAACAAAAAUUCUAUGCAAGAUCAUAGACUUUCAAAGAAUCCAAUAAGAAAGAGGCAAUCUUCCAUCUCAGUGCUUAACUAGAUUUAAGUUUAUGAAAUUAAUCUUAAAAAAGUAAUCAAUCAUGCAACAAAGUAAAGUGAAAUCAGCAAAACAAGAAGAAUCAAACACAACACAAAAAAAAAAGAGGUACUCUUCAUUGUAAGCACUCAUCUUCAGUGCGAGGUUGGAUUAAGUUUUUGAAAUUAAACCUAAGAUUACAAUUUGUCAUGCAACAGAGUUGAACUAGCAAAAUAAAAAAAUAAAAAAUAGAAAACUCAACCAUACAAAUUUGGAGUACACUGCUGAUACAAUCUCUAAUUCCUCUCUCUAGCAAAUCGUGUUCGAAGUACACGAUCAACUAAUUCCGUAUAGACUACUAAAUGCAAUCACAAUUAAGAAAAGUUUACAAAACUACAAUCUGUACACAAAAGAUGAAAACUAAAAUUUAAUGAAUGUUAAAGAUAAGAGAUCAACAUAUAAUUGAUAGUUCAAAUCAAACUCCGGCAAAUCACAAGCCUACAACCAAAAAAUUAGAAUUAACCAGAAGCUAUGGGAAUGAAAAUCUAAAAGCCAACUUGCAAAAUAAACCCAACAAAACACACAGGAAUAAAACCAACCAAACACACCAGGACAUCAGAAAUUUGAAACUUUAAUUCCUCUAUCCUGCAAGGUAUGCUUAGAGCACAAUAGCCCAUUAAGCGUUCAAAGAACAAACAAAUGACAACUAGGGCACAUCAAUGGAUGAAGAACCAACAACCCAGGAAUUUCUUGACAGUAACAUUCUCCUAAUGCAUUCGUCAAACAACUUCAUCAACGAUUAGAGGCAACCACAAUAAAAAGUUUGACAAUCAUCACAUAACUAAAAAAAGCCAAGCCAGUGAAACCACAUAAAAAGUUUUUUCUCUCUGUCAUGCCACAGAGAGAAAAACAAGAAGGAAAACUCCCAUACACACAGAGCCACACAUUUUAAUCCUUAAAUCCUACACACAACCAUACAAAUUUAGAAUCCAUAAUUCCCCUGCAAGUCAUUCUUGGACGACACAACGCAUCAAGUUUCAAACAGACCAUCACAUCACAACCCAAGGGAAUUUUUCAAAGUAAAGUUACAAAGCCCUAAUUUAUGUAAAAGUUUAAAAAUGAAACAAGAAGAAUCAAGACACAAUCUCAAUGAGAAAGACAUCAAACUGAGAGCCUAUGACAACAUAUAUUUAGAAUUUCAAAGAAUCCAGCAAAAAGAAAUAAUCUUCCUUUUAAGCAUUCAACCACAAUGCAUGUCAAAAUUAAAUUACAGAAAUUGAACCUAGCAAACCAAUCUGCCUUGUAACAAAUAGAGUGAAACAACAAAAUAAAAACCUCCCUAAACACGUACCUACACACACAAGAGGCACAGAAAUUGAAUUCGCUGCUUGAAGCACACAUGGAGAAAACAAACUCCCAUACACAGCCACAUAAAUUUUUAAUUCUUAAAUGCAACACCAUAGAAAUUUAAUGCCUUAAUUCUCCCUACACUACAAAACACAGAAUUCAAUACACUAUUUAGACUUUCAAAGAUCCAUCAAAGGAAAGAUCCUCUUGUAAACAUUUCCAUCAAUGCAUGUCAAAAUUAAGUUUACAAAAAUGUAACUAAUUCAACACCUGUUCUUAACAACAUCAUGCUUCAUUAAUUCUUAAUAAUACCGUCAUGACUAACCACCAAUGACAUGAAGAACAUUGAACUGACACAGUAAUAAACCAUCCAAUACGCAACAGAAUUUUGUGUUUUCAUCCCAAUGCUUAUAGAAUAUAAAUAGAUGCAAACUACAAGAAGAGGGGACAGCAGAAAAACACAGUCCAAUCCCUAAACAUUGAGAAUCAUUCUUACCCCUAUGCUCCUUACCACCAUAAACUCACAGCCAUCAACAAUCUAUUCCACUUUUAUUGAGGCUAGAAUUCUUCAAAGAUAAUGCCUGCAUAUCCUAUUACAAAAAGCAAUGCCAUAGAAAUAUGCAUUAUGAAAUUAGAUCAAAUUAAGAAAGGCUUCUGUGGAUAAUACAAGAAUAUACAAAAUAUUGGCCAAAGAUGAAAAAAUGAUUACAACCUACAAAGAAAGGAUUGCACAAGAAAUUAAAGAUAAACCUGGAUGUUGGUAACCCAUGAUAGGUUAAUUGCCACAGUCCCUGUUAAAGCUGCUGUGAAAACACCAAUAGUUUUCAACAAAUUAGUCUUUGGCUGGUAAGUAACUUCGAAAUCUAACGAGCUAGCUUCAUCAACUCAACAUAAAGGAUCACAAGGUCCAGAGGUUGAGGUCAGCUCCUGUUGAUAUGCAAAGGUUAUUUCAGUGUGUGGAAGAACCCAAAAAUGAAGAAACACAGACACUGCCGUUUUGCUAUGAUGGUUGGUUUUUAUAGCAAUUUGGAGAAAGCUUUCUAAACAGCCUUUUGUAUAAUCUUCCCUCAUAAAGAGGAUCAUUACUCAGCCUCAAUCCUGCCAAUGAAGGAUGAGAAACCAAGAAGAGUCAUUUGAAAAAUGUUCCUAGCCUUUAGGAUUCAGCAUUUUUUACACAAUGAGGCUACUUUCAGGACUUGAACUUGCUCAUUUGAGCCCCUCAGCCAAAAUCUUUUAUAUUACACCAGACAGUGUCUCCUAAUCAACCCUCAUAUAUCUAACUAAAUCAAUCUGAUUUCUGAGCUAAACAUCUGCAGAAGGUAAUUUCCAAUAGCAACAGCUUGAAAUUCUAUCAAAUUAUUUGACCUCCUCAUUAACCAAGAUAAAAUCUUCAAAUGUAUGAACUAGCAGUACAGGCAAAUGGGUACCCUUAAACUGGAAGUACUUAUAAGCAAGACAAUAGAUGACAAGAGACACAAAAUGAAAUCAAAAAACACUCACCCAAAUCAUAAAUCAAUGAAAAUGCAAAUGGGUACUCGUAAAGAUAAAAUUUUUCAUAAUGGCAUAGGGAUGAAAAGAACAAAAACCUCAAGCUGCUUUUCAUUGUUGGGUUGAACUUUUUGUUGCCGUGCAAUAACUUUCGUUACGGGGUUUACCUAGACUCAUAAUUGUUGUUAUAUUAUUACAUUAUAAUAUAAAUCAAAUUAAGAAUUUUUUUUAUUGAAAGAAAAAAAGAACAAUACUAAUUUUUUUACUUGAGAUACUAUAACUAAUUCAAGGUAUGGAUCCAAUCUAUAACUAAAGUUAUAAAGGGGAUACACUCAUUCUUUUUGGUUUCUAACCUUUGGUGACAUGGCUAACCAGUAAGGCGGGGAUUGCAAAUCCCUUAUUCCCCGGUUCAAAUCAAGUUGUUGCUUGAUCAACAAAAAACUUGGAACCCUAUAUUCUGCUUUGCUCAUAUGACUCAAAAAUUUUUCUCUACCAAAAACAAGUGCAAGAAAAGGACUCUUGAUACUUUCUUGACUAUAAACUUAGCAAGGUUUUGUCUUCAAAAAUGUUGUAAAUCCUUACGUCUAGGAUUCAAGGAAAAGUUAGAGUAGGAGAGGGGAAUCAGAAAUCUUGAUAUGAUAUCCCCUCUCCUAUUAAUGGAAGGGCUGCUAAAAGAGUCUUCAAUUAGAUUGGAUAUCAUAAUGGGAGUGUCUAAUUAUUAACAAAUGAAUAGUUGUACAAGGGUAAGUAAUGAACAACAGUUACCUUUAGGAAGUCUUUCAUGCUUUGAAAGCAAGGUUCAGACAACACAUCAUUGCAACAUAUAUGUAUGCAAUAAUCCCACAUUCCCCAAAAGACAAAGGGAAAAGGAGGGAGGCAAAGAGGAAUCUAACCCAAAAGGAAGCAUCACAUGCAUGUGUUCAUCAACAAUAGGUGACAGACGCUAAAAGCACCCAGACAAGUAGACAACAGAGCUUGCAUAGCAUUUUACACGUACAGCCCACAACCAAACAGAAUAAGUCUAUUGCAAAUCAUUGAAAAGGCUGCAGAUCCUAACAAAAAUGUUCACCUAAUGGCUCCAGCUGCUACUUUGUGAAAAUAAGCAUGUGAAUGCAACCAAUCUUUAAAUUUUAGCUUUCCAACAUAUGCACGUGGUGCCAUUUUCCGCAAACAAUAAGAAUGGAAAUCAAAUUGAUCUUCAGUAAUAUCAGCAUAGUGCUUCUCCACAGCUAUAAAUUUCUCCAGGGCCCGUCCAAAAUCACCAUGUCGAAAGUAACUUUCAUCAGAAGCAAGUUCAUACCUUCAAAAGAUGGAUAACACUCAGUAGGUGUACCCAAAUUAUAAUUAGAGACAACAACAUGUGGAAGGUAAUAAACAAAAACAGACCACAUGCACUGCAUGUCAUGAAGGUUGUUGUGCUGGCCCCCAUCUUUCGUGAACAAAACAGCAGUUUUUCCUGCCAAAGCCACCUUCAAAAGUAGAAAAAGCUUGUGAACAGUACAAUAAUACCGAAAGAAAUUUAGUGACAAAUAUUAACUAUGACAAAAGAUGAAGUGGGGAAGCCUUAGAACCUGAUCAGACUGCAACAUUCGCUUCACAGAUUAACUGUUUACAUAGCGAUCUGCAAGAUCCAUACACCUAGCUUCAUCUGUCAAUGAAGCCACAGCUACCAAAUCACCAACAUGUUUCAGUAUCCGACUCUGUCACCAAAGAGAAGUAAAUAAUAUACACAUAGACCCAGCUUCAAGAAAAUUCCAAGAACUUCUCCAAAAGAUCAAGAAACAAUAGCCAGUCAAACUAAAAAACACCAGUCAAACUAAUACAAAAAAAAAAAAAAAUCUCACCUGGAUAUAAAGGCUAGAAGAGGCUUAAUGCAAUCAAUUGCCGCUUUACGAAAUUUGUUUCCUUGCAGUAAAUCAAGUGGUAUCCUCUAAAAAUUGAGAAAACAAAGUUUUAAUAUAAGUCCUAGAACAUUCAUCACACAUCAUAAAGGAAGUAGCAUUUAUUGGCAAUAAUGAUGCACAUUGUAACAGCAAUAAUUACAAUUCUCAUGAAUGAAUACAUAACAAAUGUGGGUUACAGGAAGAAAACAAUUUAAAUACAUCCUCACUGCAUGAGUCAAAUUCCAAAAGCUCUAGAGUUUGACACUUUAUUUCAAUCAUGCCAUAACCUGGCCCAUCGUCAAAAGGUUUUUAUAUAGGAAAGUCAGUUUAACUAAAAGAAUGAGAUAAAGAUAGCCACUAAUAAAAGAAUUAGCCACCAUGUCAACUCUCUAGGGGUGAAGCAUAUGAAAGCAUAAUUUUAACCACCUAGAGUUCUUACUAUUGUCACAUCAAGACAUCAAUGAAGUAUUUCAGCAUAAUACCACAACUAUCUAUUUCUAGAUUAUUUAAGAAUAUCACAAGCCAUCGAAUGGACUGUGUCUAUUGUAGAACCACAUCACUAGAUUUUUGUCACAUAAUUUCUUAUCAAGCCAUCAAGAAAAACAAGAUCCCUACAAGAGUAUUUGUAAAAAUAGCCGCCCCUCCUCUCUCUAGAAAAGGGGAGAAAGCUUGAUAGCUCUACAAAAAAAGUAAGGUUUUCGUUGGAUUUGCAUCAUGUGAUUCUAUAAAUAAGAGAGAGAAGAAAUCCAGAGUAAAUAUAAUGAACAGAACAUCCCAAGGUACCAUUUGGAGCUUAUUAAAAAAAAAUACCAAACAGAAAAUCAAAUUAAUAUGACUAACAGCUAAGACAUAAUAAAACAGCUUACACUAGCAAUAUCAUUAUCUACAGUCUAUAACGAGAACACAUUUUAUCAUCAGAAAAAAAUAGAAAAAAAUCAAAUCGGGCAUUAUUUGAAGUAAAAAAUUUAAAUAAAAUUAAGAUGGUAGAAAUCAAACCUUCAUAAGGUCUCCAAAUUCCUCACACAUUCCAAUUUGUCCUCCACCAACUAAUUCUCUACUUAACAGCCUCAAGUUUCUUGGUCUGCUCCAAGGUAUAUAACAUUUCUGCAACUGCCACUAUAUGCAUCAAAGAUUCUGCAGAACCAAAAAGUGAAAUUUGCAUGAUUAUACAACCUACCUCAAGGAACCUAAAAUGCAUCAUGUUAUGUAAAGGUCGUAAUACCUUCAUGUUUACCAAGGAAAACUUUGUUCGCCUCACUAAGAGUUUUCUCCUGCAAUUGACUGCAGAAAGAGAAAAUAAAGGGAUUUAAUGCAUCAGGGAUCAAAAUAAUAAUAGUAACAGUAACACAACAAAAUUCUAGUAGGGGAAUAGCUAUCAUAAAACCAUUUCAAAGAGAACCUGAUGGAUGGACGCUCAGCUUCUAAGACACUCCAAACAAGUUUUUCAGCAUCAGUUAAUGGAGCAGGCAUUGAGCCCAAUUUAUGGAAAAAUUUAAUCUGCAUUAGAUUAAAUUCAAAUAAGCAUUGUAAAGAUUACAUGAUCUUUGUAUCUAAGAACAGAAAAGAAUGCAGUUGUGCAUGGCAGUGCACAAAUAUGGUAGGGCAGAUGUUACAUGAAUCUGGAUUCUCAGCAUCCAGCCUUAGCAGUUGCUUUACAGCCUUCGCAGUUGCUUUACAGCCUUCAGGAAAACAAAAUAAAACCAAGACAAACGUACUAAUAUGAGCUCAUGAAAUAGUAAAAGUACUACUGCACAAAACCAUUGUUCUACAACUCAAAGAUAUGUCGUGCAAACUAUCUAAUUCACACAUAAAUUCAUUGAGUGAGUAGAGCAAUAAGAAAAGGAUGUUUGGUUAAACGGUACAGUUUCUUUAUUUCAAGAACAUAUCCACAGGCAGAAAGUGAAAAAAGAGAGGAGAAAACAAGAGAAGGGGCUUCCUCACAAAUCACUAGCUGACAAUUAAAUAUCAGUUCUAGUUGACCAAACACAAAAAGAACAAGAAACACAUCUCAUGUUCAAUUCUAGGAAAAUAUAAUACCUGAAAGGCAAGCAAAAUCUUCUGCUUUCUCAUAUUUACUUCAACAGAAAGUAAGUGCGUCUCCAAAGAAUCAGGUGAGUUCUUCUGAAGCAACUUCAAGUACUUCGUUGCUUCUGACAAGGGAUACUCUGUCUGAAAAAAAAAAUACAGAUUAAACAGUCUUAGCUUAAUAGGCAUUAGCGUAACACAUUUUUACAGCACGAGGACUUUAAUCAGGAAUCUAAAGCACAGGGAAAAGAUAAUAAUAGGUAACCUUCAAUAAUUUUCUCCAAAAGGAUAAGGAUCUACAGGUUUAACAUGUCGUUUCCCACACUUAGAGAUGCCACUAGAACUUGAUUCUUCAUUUUUCUCCUCUGCCUCUUAAAAUAAUACACGGCAUCAGAAUGAAAUCAUCAAAGAGAGUGUUAGCCAAGAAUCACCAAAACAAGCUGAUAUACUUUCUUAGCUCGUUCCACCUUCCUCUGCUUCUUCAUUUUCUUUUUCUGAGAAGGAGUCUUUGAUGUGUCAUCCUCUUCUUCAGCCAGUGAGUUCAAAGGAGAAUCAAACAACUUUAGAUAGCAUUUGCACUUCAAAAUCCAAUAAUUAUCACAAUGCAGAAAGAAAAGGUUCAAAAUUGAAGUAAUCACCAGUUUCAAGCCAAGAGUUUCAGAGAAAGAAACACCAACAUAGAAAUGGGACCAAUGGAUCAAUCACAAAAACUAUUACUUAAUUGUUGCAUGGCCUGUCACUAUAUCAUCCCAUUCCAUUCACCAUCAAAUCAAUAAGAUCAAUAUAAAAAGCUAUAUAAUCAACAAAUAAAUUCUGGUACUUGGUAAACAUGCAAUUCUCCAUCCUUACCCAACAGAAAUCCCAGGUGCCGCCUUCCUAUCAUUUAAAAAAGCCACAAUCUCAAAUUUCAAUAUGCCUGCAAGGAACAUUUAAUCCUUUCAGUAAUAACAUCACAAGAAUAUGAAACUUACAAAAGAUAUAACGAAAGCAAAUUGAGACUACCAAGCAAAAUUUUUAUCCUGUUUGGCAUUAUACCACAAGGUCUCGACAUAAUAUAAUAAGAAUCCCCUAAGUACAACGUAAAACACCCAUCCUAAGUAUGAAACAAGUAUAUAACCUUAUAAAAAUCAGAAACUAUAAUCUAGAAUACUUGUUAAAUUAAAUUUGACUUGAGCAUCAUUUGAACACAAAUUUUUUAAGCAGAUCCAAAUAUUUGCAUCUUCUUUUAAUAGUUAAUAAUUUGUGGGAGAGCAUUUGAACUUCAGACCUCUACCAGGGCAAGAGGAGUUAUUGCAACUAAGGUAUGUGUAAAGCCACAAAAAAAAAAAAAAAAAACUGCUUUAUAAUAUAACAUAAUUGGCUUAUUAAUAGCAUUUGUUUCUGUAUGGUAAGGAUAGACAUGUAUCCACAGUUGAAAAUUCGUUAAUGGUACAUUUUCCUAUAUAUUAUGUAUUUGGUCCAUCAGGUAUAUAAAACAAAGAGACGGGGCACAAGGAUUGUCUUACAUAGCAUUCUGAUACAUAAUACUAAUUUAAUCACAUACAUAUCAAUUAGAUCAACAAAUGAAUCAACAACAGCCUCUUAUUUGAACUCUAAAACUCUCAUUUGUAUUCCUUAUACAAAUGAAAUUGAAAAAACAGAUUGAUUAACAUUAUUUGAAAAAAUCAUAAAGUUCAUAACGAACUUAAAAUCAUUGUGCAUAUCAAAAUGACUAGUAUUGUAGACACCGAUUUUGUCCGGGUCUACUGUUUUAAUAAUAAUAAUAAUAUUUUUAAUAAAAAAAUUAUUAAUAAACAAAACAAAAAAAAAAAAACAAACAAAAGAAACAGAAUAAGACAGAAAUCAGGGAGUUGGUACGGCGCCGCUGUCGCCAGCCUCCGACCAGCCACCCUACAGCCACCAACCAACUACCCUACAGCCACCUAGAUCCCCCUAAUUUAAGCCUUUAAAAAUCUCCAGCCACUUCCCCUUCAAGAAGGAGGAAGCUGGCUGGAAUCCCCAUUCAACCUUGCUCUAAAAAUUCCCUUUUCUGAAACCUCUCCCUCGAAUCCCUCCUUUUCCGAAAUCUCUCUCGAACGCAUAGGAACCCGUUCACUUCAUCCCUACCAAAAAUCACCAAACGAGCUACCCCUCCCUCAAAACACUCCCAAACACCCAAAAUACCCAA